This is a long non-coding RNA of Oreochromis niloticus (Nile tilapia), 270 nucleotides long. RefSeq lists it as uncharacterized. The record is from RefSeq and is a predicted model, not a curated record. The transcript has 3 exons. NCBI's taxonomy places the organism in Eukaryota, Metazoa, Chordata, Actinopteri, Cichliformes, Cichlidae.
AUGAUGUUUCCGGCUGAGGACAUUUGGUUGUGCCCACUGAACUUUGGUUGUCAAAAUCUCCUCACAAUCUGUACUGCUGUUAGACCCUCUUGGAAAUGAAGGUUGUUAUGAAAGGAAAAUUAUGCGUAACUGGAGGAAUUUUCUGAAGAUGAAAGGAAAGGAAGAGUCCCGAGUGGAUUGGAAAAUGGAGACUCUGACUGUGUCCGAAUUCAGAGGAAGGAUGCUCAUAAGGACACUACCUACCUACGUCACAAGGUAGUGUCCUUAGAC